AGCGAGGGGGUGGGGAAGAGUUCGUUGUUUGUUUACACGAUGUGAGCGGAAAGAGAGACCAAUAAAGUUUAUUCUGGAAACAAAAGGAAAAAGAGCCCGGGCGCCGGCGAGCAGAGCCGGGGGUGGGGGCGUGCGGCGGGGCCGGCGCCGAGUGGAGCGAGCCAGCCGAGCGAGCGGCAGUUCCGGUGCCGCGGCGGCCGAGGCUGGGGCUGGGGCGGCCGGCGAGGCAGCGCUCGGGCCCGGCCGGGCCGCUCCGCAGCGGCGGGGGAGAGGGCCCGGGAGGCGGGCGCCGCGCCGCCCGCUGUCCUCUCCCUCGGCGCUGCCGCCGCCGCCGCCCGCGGGGCCGGGACCCGAUGCGGCGGGAGCCGCGCAGCCUGGAGGAGCCGGAGCGGCACUGUUUGGGGACAGCCAUCUCUCUGAUUCCAUAAAGUGGUUUUCUAUGUAAAGUUGGCAGAGGAUCAGAACAAUGCCUCCACGGCCAUCGUCGGGUGAACUGUGGGGCAUCCACUUGAUGCCCCCACGAAUCCUAGUGGAAUGUUUACUCCCAAAUGGAAUGAUAGUGACUUUAGAAUGCCUCCGUGAGGCUACACUAAUCACCAUCAAACAUGAACUAUUUAAAGAAGCCAGAAAAUACCCUCUGCAUCAGCUUCUGCAAGAUGAAUCUUCUUACAUUUUUGUAAGUGUUACCCAAGAAGCAGAAAGAGAAGAAUUUUUUGAUGAAACAAGACGGCUUUGUGACCUUCGGCUCUUUCAACCCUUUUUAAAAGUAAUUGAACCAGUAGGCAACCGUGAAGAGAAGAUCCUCAAUCGAGAAAUUGGUUUUGUUAUUGGCAUGCCAGUGUGUGAAUUUGACAUGGUUAAAGAUCCAGAAGUCCAGGACUUCCGAAGGAACAUUCUGAAUGUUUGCAAAGAAGCCGUGGAUCUGCGGGAUCUCAACUCGCCUCACAGCAGAGCAAUGUAUGUCUACCCUCCCAAUGUAGAGUCUUCCCCAGAAUUGCCAAAGCACAUCUACAACAAGUUAGAUAAAGGACAAAUCAUAGUGGUGAUUUGGGUAAUCGUCUCUCCAAACAAUGACAAGCAGAAGUACACCCUGAAGAUCAACCAUGACUGUGUGCCAGAGCAAGUCAUUGCUGAAGCCAUCAGGAAGAAGACUCGGAGUAUGCUGCUCUCCUCUGAGCAGCUGAAGCUCUGUGUCCUAGAAUACCAGGGCAAGUAUAUUCUGAAAGUGUGUGGCUGUGACGAGUACUUCCUAGAAAAGUAUCCUCUGAGCCAGUACAAGUACAUCAGAAGCUGUAUAAUGCUGGGGAGGAUGCCCAACUUGAUGUUGAUGGCCAAGGAGAGUCUUUACUCUCAGCUGCCGAUGGAUAGCUUCACAAUGCCAUCUUACUCCAGGCGGAUCUCCACAGCCACGCCCUAUAUGAAUGGAGAGACAUCUACGAAAUCCCUCUGGGUUAUUAAUAGUGCACUCAGAAUCAAAAUUCUUUGUGCAACCUAUGUAAAUGUAAAUAUUCGAGACAUUGAUAAGAUCUAUGUUCGCACAGGUAUCUACCAUGGUGGAGAACCCUUAUGUGACAAUGUGAACACUCAAAGAGUACCUUGUUCCAAUCCUAGGUGGAGUGAAUGGCUGAAUUAUGACAUAUACAUUCCUGAUCUCCCUCGUGCCGCUCGCCUCUGCCUUUCCAUUUGCUCUGUUAAAGGCCGAAAGGGUGCUAAGGAGGAGCACUGUCCAUUGGCCUGGGGAAAUAUAAACUUGUUUGAUUACACAGACACCCUAGUAUCCGGGAAAAUGGCUUUGAAUCUCUGGCCUGUACCACAUGGGUUAGAAGAUCUGCUGAACCCUAUUGGUGUUACCGGGUCAAAUCCAAAUAAAGAAACUCCUUGCUUAGAGCUGGAGUUUGAUUGGUUCAGCAGUGUGGUGAAGUUUCCCGACAUGUCUGUGAUCGAAGAGCAUGCCAACUGGUCUGUGUCCCGAGAAGCUGGGUUCAGUUACUCUCAUACAGGACUGAGUAACCGACUCGCCAGAGACAAUGAACUAAGAGAAAAUGACAAAGAACAGCUUCGAGCACUUUGCACCCGGGACCCACUGUCUGAAAUCACUGAGCAAGAGAAAGACUUCCUAUGGAGCCACAGACACUACUGUGUAACUAUUCCUGAAAUCCUACCCAAGUUGCUUUUGUCUGUCAAGUGGAAUUCCAGAGAUGAAGUAGCCCAGAUGUACUGCUUAGUCAAAGACUGGCCUCCAAUCAAGCCUGAGCAGGCCAUGGAACUUCUGGACUGUAAUUACCCGGAUCCCAUGGUUCGGAGUUUUGCCGUUCGGUGCUUGGAAAAAUACUUAACAGAUGAUAAACUUUCUCAGUACCUCAUUCAGCUCGUGCAGGUCUUAAAAUAUGAACAAUAUUUGGAUAACCUGCUUGUGAGAUUUUUACUCAAGAAAGCGUUGACAAAUCAAAGGAUUGGCCAUUUUUUCUUUUGGCAUUUAAAGUCUGAAAUGCACAAUAAGACUGUUAGUCAGAGGUUUGGGCUGCUGCUGGAGUCCUACUGCCGUGCCUGUGGGAUGUAUCUGAAGCACCUGAACAGACAGGUCGAGGCCAUGGAGAAGCUCAUCAACCUGACUGACAUCCUCAAGCAGGAGAAGAAGGAUGAGACACAGAAGGUACAGAUGAAGUUUUUGGUUGAACAGAUGAGACAGCCAGAUUUCAUGGAUGCUCUGCAGGGUUUUCUGUCUCCUCUGAACCCUGCUCAUCAACUAGGGAACCUCAGGCUUGAAGAGUGUCGAAUUAUGUCGUCUGCAAAAAGGCCACUAUGGUUGAAUUGGGAGAACCCAGACAUCAUGUCAGAGCUACUGUUUCAGAACAAUGAGAUCAUCUUUAAAAAUGGCGACGAUUUGCGGCAAGAUAUGUUAACACUUCAGAUCAUCCGAAUUAUGGAGAACAUUUGGCAAAACCAAGGCCUUGACCUUCGAAUGCUACCUUACGGCUGUCUCUCCAUUGGGGACUGUGUGGGGCUCAUCGAAGUGGUGAGGAAUUCUCACACCAUCAUGCAGAUCCAGUGCAAAGGAGGCCUGAAGGGGGCGCUGCAGUUCAACAGUCACACUCUGCAUCAGUGGCUCAAGGACAAGAACAAGGGCGAGAUAUACGACGCAGCCAUUGACCUGUUCACAAGGUCGUGUGCUGGGUACUGUGUGGCAACUUUCAUCUUGGGAAUUGGAGACCGGCACAAUAGCAACAUCAUGGUGAAGGACGAUGGACAGCUGUUUCAUAUAGAUUUUGGGCACUUUUUGGAUCACAAGAAGAAAAAAUUUGGUUAUAAACGGGAACGUGUGCCGUUUGUUUUGACUCAAGAUUUCUUAAUAGUGAUUAGUAAAGGAGCCCAGGAGUACACAAAGACCAGAGAGUUUGAGAGGUUUCAGGAGAUGUGUUAUAAGGCUUACCUAGCCAUUCGGCAGCAUGCCAAUCUCUUCAUCAACCUUUUCUCAAUGAUGCUUGGCUCUGGAAUGCCAGAACUGCAGUCUUUUGAUGACAUUGCGUAUAUUCGAAAGACUCUAGCCUUAGACAAAACUGAGCAAGAGGCUUUGGAGUAUUUCACCAAACAAAUGAAUGACGCACAUCACGGCGGCUGGACGACAAAAAUGGAUUGGAUCUUCCACACCAUCAAGCAGCAUGCCUUGAACUGAGAUGGGAGCUGGGAACUGCAAGCUGGCGCAUUGUUUCUCCACUGCAUGGCAGUGAGUGACAACAGGCAGAUGGUGGCACGGGGAUGGCACAGUCAGGAACAACAUGCUCUAUAAUUGAAACACUGUACACGCAAACAGGGUUCGAUAGCACUAAACUAGUUCAUCUCAGAAUCCAGCUUUAGAAUAACGAGCAAUUUCAUGUUAUGCCUUAAGUCCAAAAAAAGGUAAACUUUGAAGAUUGUUUGUAUCUUUUUUUAAAAAAACAAAACAAAACAAAAAUCCCCAAAAUACAUACAAAUGAUGGAGACGAAAAGAGAAUGCUGUUCCGUUUGUCUUGCCAGGGUUCUGUUUACAAUGUGGACAAAACCGAGGCUGUGACUGCUUUAGGUCUGAGUCAGCUGGAGUUUAUAUUAAGUAAAUGAAAUUGGAGAAGAAUGGAAAUGCUUAUUUUCCCGUUGCUGUUCAGACUUACGGUUUGAAGUGGGGUUUGACUCCCGGCUUACUGACGAACAACACUUGGGGUGAUGGGGCUCGCUUUUUGCUCUGAACACACAGCCCUUUGAUGGACUUGGUCUCUCCCCCUGUGGUUUGGAAAGCAGUCACAAGUGACAACCUGCAGACAGCUGUGUUCUUGUUGGGUUUUGGUUUUUGUUGUUUUUUUCUGGACAGUAUUUACAAGGAUCUGACUUAUUUCCUAGGGAAAUUCUGGGCUGGCAUCAAGUACAGCAGUGAUCUAGAGGAGGCCAGCAGGGCUCCUGUUUCUGACCUGUACAGUAUUCACUUUGAGCUGAUUGUUUCUCCUUUGCAAUUGAACUGAGUACUUUUUUUCAUGCAUGUUUUCCAGAAAAUAGAAGGAUUAUUACAGUCAAACUCAGUGACAUGGUACAAAUCUACAGCUCUGAUGGUGGAAACUGAAGAAUUACAAAAAGAACUGUGUUUUCCUGAGUGCCAAAACAAAAACAAAAAACAAAAGCCGUGAGCCUCCUUGCACAAAAUUGGUAGUUUUUGCCUUUUUUUCCUGCAUUAGUUCAAGUAGUUACCACCUUCUAGAGUCUCUGCACAAUUAAAACACAACCACAUAGCUUAUUAUGCCAUUGACAACCACAUUAAUUGUACUGAUAGAAAAUCUAUGUUCUAUAAAGGAUAUAUAUAAAGAAAGAAAGGAGAAUGAUUUGUAUUAAAAAAAAGACAAAGGACUAAAAUUCAAAUCGAAACUGGGGUGAUGAGAAUCUGUUUUCAGCAAGCAAUAAUGUGCCACUCCCAGGUGCUUGAGAAUCAGAAGGACCUGCGGAGCAAUCACCUCUGUAAAUGGCUAUCCUUGUCAUUGAAUAUUGUGUCAAUCUUGACUUUGGCUCCAUAAUCUCACUAAGUCACUUGAGGAUGUUUCGUCAGUGAUUAUUUCUGGAAGGAAAGAAAGCAAACCUAAAGAAACUACACUGUAGCAAGAAGUAACUUCCGUCAUGCUUUCACUUCUUACCAUCGCAGCGAUGCGAGACCUUUAGUUGGAAGAUUUUUAGACUGCUGUUAAUUUGAAAUCUGUUCAUCUUACUGUGGAGUUUGAUUUGUCUGUUUGUUUGCUUUCUGUUUGUUUUUAAAGAUGUUUCUAAUUAGAGUUUUUACAAGAAGAA
Molecule: RNA transcript, 5301 nt
Organism: Alexandromys fortis (reed vole)
Lineage: Eukaryota; Metazoa; Chordata; Mammalia; Rodentia; Cricetidae
Gene: Pik3ca
Gene name: phosphatidylinositol-4,5-bisphosphate 3-kinase catalytic subunit alpha
Exons: 22
Source: RefSeq, a predicted model, not a curated record